CUAAUGAUGAGGCUAGAGAGAAC
Molecule: small RNA, 23 nt
Filed under: Arabidopsis thaliana (thale cress)
Lineage: Eukaryota; Viridiplantae; Streptophyta; Magnoliopsida; Brassicales; Brassicaceae
Description: ATSL148050
Source: RNAcentral